RNAcentral lists this ribosomal RNA (458 nucleotides) under uncultured organism. RNAcentral describes it as "partial 16S ribosomal RNA". It matches the Rfam family "Bacterial small subunit ribosomal RNA", at positions 329 to 804 of the family's 1533-position model. The record is from RNAcentral.
ACGUACACUCCUGCGGGAGGCAGCAGUGGGGAAUUUUACGCAAUGGGGGAAACCCUGACGUAGCGACACCGCGUGAGCGAAGAAGCCCUUUGGGGUGUAAAGCUCUGUCAGCUGGAACGAAAACAAUGACGGUACCAGCAGAGGAAGCAUCGGCUAACUACGUGCCAGCAGCCGCGGUAAGACGUAGGAUGCGAGCGUUGUCCGGAUUUAUUGGGCGUAAAGAGUUCGUAGGAGGUUUGUUAAGUUUGGUGUUAAAGAUCGGGGCUCAACCCUGGGACUGCACUGAAUACUGGCAGACUCGAGUGUGGUAGAGGCUAGUGGAAUUCCCAGUGUAGCGGUGAAAUGCGUAGAUAUUGGGAAGAACACCGGUGGCGUAGGCGACUAGCUGGGCCAUAACUGACGCUGAGGAACGAAAGCCAGGGGAGCGAAUGGGAUUAGAAACCCUAGUAGUCCCAUGA